AGCGGAGUAGAGCAGUGGCAGCUCGUUAGGUUCAUACCCUAAAGGUCGGGGGUUCAAGUCCCCCCUCCGCAACCA
This 75-nucleotide transfer RNA is filed under the name Alphaproteobacteria bacterium. RNAcentral describes it as "tRNA-Met". It matches the Rfam family "tRNA". From Rfam's summary of the family: Transfer RNA (tRNA) molecules are approximately 80 nucleotides in length. Their secondary structure includes four short double-helical elements and three loops (D, anti-codon, and T loops). RNAcentral also lists the same sequence under 1 other name. Lineage: Bacteria; Pseudomonadati; Pseudomonadota; Alphaproteobacteria. The record is from RNAcentral.